ACUAGGUGGAGCUCACGAAGCAGCUUUUACGGGCCUAGUCCAGUGUUUUGUGGCUUUCUGAGACUGCAGCUGCACUUUAUAAUGUUCUGCAGUCCAAAAUCUUGGAAGAGACCCAACCUUUAGUUCUGUGAAGCAUCUUCCUUGCGGACACUCUACAGUGGCACAACCACCCGGCUCCAGUAGGCUUUCCUCCGUGGUGGCUCCACCCCUCCCGCCACUCUCUUUCUAAGCAGGUCCUGGGAAUUCCUUGAAAUCCAGAAGACCGUGCCACACUGCACCUGGCUGGCCUGAGACACCUUGACUCAGCACCAAAGCUUUCCCGAAGGGCAGCAGAACCAAGGAGGGCCACACUGGAAUGCGGAAGCAGCUGAGAUGGUGCCUGCUUGCUGAAUGCUCCAGAGGAAGUAACAUCAUCCUCACAGAGCAGAGAGUGCUCCAGAAGAAGGGACAUCAUCCUCACAGAGCAGAGAGUGCUCCAGGGGGAGGGACAUCAUCCUCACAGAGCAGAAGAGAUGAAAAUGUCAACCAAUGCAAAGCCUCUGACUUAGUUAGGGUUUCUACUGCUGAGAUAAAACACCACGAUAAAAGCAACUUGGAGAGGAGAUUAUUUCGGUUUCCACUCAGGUUACAGACCAUCACUAAGGGAAGUCAAGACAGGAGCUCAGGGCAGGAACUGAAGCAGAGGCCAUACAGAAGUUGUCGCUUACUGGCUUGCUUUCCAUGGUACAUAUUAAAAAUAAUUUUCCAUGCAAUAUAUUCUGAUCAUGGUUUCCCCUCUCUGAAGCCCCCAGACCCUCCCUCAACCAUCCACCAUCACACCCUUUUCUCUCUCUUUAGAAAAAUAAACAAAAUUCAAACAAACCAGAAUUAAAAAACAAAACAAAGAAACACACACAGAGACACACACACACAACUCAAAAAAUCACCAAAUCAAAAACUAUAAUAUGCAAGUGAAAGGCUGGUAAGGAAAAAACAAGCUCCAAUAAAGACAUAUGACACACAUAGUCUAUAAAAAUA
This is a non-coding RNA of Cricetulus griseus (Chinese hamster), 1017 nucleotides long. The record is from RefSeq and is a predicted model, not a curated record. Lineage: Eukaryota; Metazoa; Chordata; Mammalia; Rodentia; Cricetidae.